UGAGGGAGUAAGAUCAUUACAAAGCAGCCUGCUGCCGGACCAACACAGGACCCUAGAGAUAAUACAGUCAAUGUGUAUAAACUGGAUAUUGUAUUUGAAUUGCCCAUUUAUAUCAAUGACACGAACAACAACAACAAAUGGUUGGAUUGUUUAGCAACGGGGCAGUACAUGAUAACACGGCUUUGGUAGUGAAACCUACAUGAUGUAAUUAUUGUCAUCUCCCUAUCAGGCCACUGCAUGCUGUGAAAAGGGCCUGGAUGGGAACACACAUCUUGUUACUGACUUUUAAACACUUGUCAAACUACAUUCCACUGCUUGUUUACUGAUUCAUUGGUGACUGAAGAAGUUGGCAAGAAACGUGCCCCUCUCAAUUUCACUGCCAAUACUGUAGAUGACCUAGCUAAACGUAAACUGCUGACAUCUUGAUCAAGCAACUAUUUACCACAUGAUGGCCCAUUAAAGGUUGAAGCACAUCCCCCAACAUCCAGACUGAUCUAAAGAACUUGGGAACCUCCCAGCAGCCACCAAGAAAAUCAUCUUGGUACUUGGAGUUUAUUCACAAGGUUUGUCAGAUGAUUUCCAGGAGCCUGGUGGAGAUGGAUACAACCGUAAUCCAAGACAGGACAUUUCCCAGCAUCCAGGUUGAGGCCUGCUACCAGCAGAAACAUGGAAUACUCCCUUGUCACUAAGCCAGGGCGGCAGGGUAGCCUAGUGGUUAGAGCAUUGGACUAGUAACUGGAAGGUUGCAAGUUCGAACCCCUGAGCUGACAAGGUUGAGUCUGCUGGGCCAUGGGAACUCUAGAGCAGGGCAUCAAACAAACCUACCACCACGGUGUCAGCUAUCAGACUGUUUCCUGAGGAAGGAGGCAAAUAGCAAUGCUUUAAGUUAUC
Molecule: long non-coding RNA, 891 nt
Organism: Oncorhynchus gorbuscha (pink salmon)
Lineage: Eukaryota; Metazoa; Chordata; Actinopteri; Salmoniformes; Salmonidae
Exons: 4
Source: RefSeq, a predicted model, not a curated record